GAUGAACGCUGGCGGCGUGCCUAAUACAUGCAAGUCGAGCGAACGGACGAGAAGCUUGCUUUUCUGAUGUUAGCGGCGGACGGGUGAGUAACACGUGGAUAACCUACCUAUAAGACUGGGAUAACUUCGGGAAACCGGAGCUAAUACCGGAUAAUAUUUUGAACCGCAUGGUUCAAAAGUGAAAGACGGUCUUGCUGUCACUUAUAGAUGGAUCCGCGCUGCAUUAGCUAGUUGGUAAGGUAACGGCUUACCAAGGCAACGAUGCAUAGCCGACCUGAGAGGCUGAGCGACCACACUGGACCUCAGUCACGGUCCAGUCUCCUACGGGAGGCAGCAGUAGGGAAUCUUCCGCAAUGGGCGCAAGCCUGACGGAGCCACGCCGCGUGAGUGAUGAAGCUCUUCGGAUCUUAAAACUCUGUUAUUAGGGAAGAACAUAUGUGUAAGUAACUGUGCACAUCUUGACGGUACCUAAUCAGAAAGCCACGGCUAACUACGUG
RNAcentral lists this ribosomal RNA (497 nucleotides) under uncultured bacterium. RNAcentral describes it as "partial 16S ribosomal RNA". It matches the Rfam family "Bacterial small subunit ribosomal RNA", at positions 28 to 507 of the family's 1533-position model. The record is from RNAcentral.